This 24-nucleotide non-coding RNA is filed under the name Cricetulus griseus (Chinese hamster). The record is from RNAcentral. Lineage: Eukaryota; Metazoa; Chordata; Mammalia; Rodentia; Cricetidae.
UCUAGCAUCACAAGUAUUAGAGGC